UGGGGAAUAUUGGACAAUGGGGGGAACCCUGAUCCAGCCAUGCCGCGUGUGUGAAGAAGGCCUUAUGGUUGUAAAGCACUUUAAGCGAGGAGGAGGGUACUGGUAUUAAUACUACCAGCUACUGGACGUUACUCGCAGAAUAAGCACCGGCUAACUCUGUGCCAGCAGCCGCGGUAAUACAGAGGGUGCGAGCGUUAAUCGGAUUUACUGGGCGUAAAGCGCGCGUAGGCGGCUAAUUAAGUCAAAUGUGAAAUCCCCGAGCUUAACUUGGGAAUUGCAUUCGAUACUGGUUAGCUAGAGUGUGGGAGAGGAUGGUAGAAUUCCAGGUGUAGCGGUGAAAUGCGUAGAGAUCUGGAGGAAUACCGAUGGCGAAGGCAGCCAUCUGGCCUAACACUGACGCUGAGGUGCGAAAGAAUGGGGAGCAAACAGG
This 430-nucleotide ribosomal RNA is filed under the name Pseudomonadota bacterium. RNAcentral describes it as "Proteobacteria bacterium partial 16S ribosomal RNA". It matches the Rfam family "Bacterial small subunit ribosomal RNA", at positions 355 to 776 of the family's 1533-position model. Lineage: Bacteria; Pseudomonadati; Pseudomonadota. The record is from RNAcentral.